Long non-coding RNA from Phacochoerus africanus (Common warthog), 321 nucleotides. RefSeq lists it as uncharacterized. The transcript is spliced from 3 exons. The record is from RefSeq and is a predicted model, not a curated record. Lineage: Eukaryota; Metazoa; Chordata; Mammalia; Artiodactyla; Suidae.
CUGUCAGAAAGUGACCCGCAGAUGGGAAGAGCAGGACAAGGUCCUCCCUAUCAGGAACAAUGGUUUCAGCUCUCCUAGGAAAACACCGUGCAUUCCUGGCUCUGGAAAACUGCAUGCCAAAUUUUCUGACCAACUGCUUGUGGGUUGAGAGUUCUCCUUUGGGAGAACCCCAAAGUCAGCCAGACGCCUGACUGCCAGUCCCAGGGUGUGGGCUUUGGUCUGCCUGAGCUGACUGCAAGUGACCCAGAUGCGUUGAAGGUGGAACCAUUUCCCUUUUACCUGGAACAACCAAGUGCCUUCCAGGAUGGGGGUGUUUCCCCC